AGCAGCCGCGGUAAUUCCAGCUCCAAUAGCGUAUAUUAAAGUUGUUGCAGUUAAAAAGCUCGUAGUUGAACUUCGGGGUCUACCCAUUGGUCAGGCUUAAUUGUCUGUACUGGUGAGAUGGAUCUCUACCUUCUGAGGAACUCUCAUGCCAUUUAUUUGGUGUGGUUGGAAAUCAGGACUGUUACUUUGAAAAAAUUAGAGUGUUUAAAGCAGACUAUCGUCUGAAUACAUUAGCAUGGAAUAAUGAAAUAGGACGGACUGAUUCUAUUUCGUUGGUUUCUAGGAUCACCGUAAUGAUUAAUAGGGAUAGUUGGGGGCAUUAGUAUUCAAUUGUCAGAGGUGAAAUUCUUGGAUUUAUUGAAGACUAACUACUGCGAAAGCAUUUGCCAAGGAUGUUUUCAUUAAUCAAGAACGAAAGUUAGGGGAUCGAAGACGAUCAGAUACCGUCGUAGUCUUAACCAUAAACUAUGCCGACUAGGGAUCGGACGAAGUUAAUUUUAUAAUGACGCGUUCGGCACCUUACG
This 524-nucleotide ribosomal RNA is filed under the name uncultured Diversisporaceae. RNAcentral's name for it is "SSU rRNA". It matches the Rfam family "Eukaryotic small subunit ribosomal RNA", at positions 569 to 1092 of the family's 1831-position model. The record is from RNAcentral. Lineage: Eukaryota; Fungi; Glomeromycota; Glomeromycetes; Diversisporales.